AUUGAGGAUCAAAAAGUUGCAUAAGAGCAUACACAGAUACGCACAACUAUGUUUUACACGACGUCUUGUGGUACCUGAUGUUCCUCUGGAAGAGACAGAUAUUUUGAGAAGCGAGGCUGCCAAGAACAACCUUGAGCUGGUGUUACUAACAACACCAACUACACCAACAGAAA
Long non-coding RNA from Hordeum vulgare subsp. vulgare (domesticated barley), 173 nucleotides. RefSeq lists it as uncharacterized. The transcript has 3 exons. NCBI's taxonomy places the organism in Eukaryota, Viridiplantae, Streptophyta, Magnoliopsida, Poales, Poaceae. The record is from RefSeq and is a predicted model, not a curated record.